GGAGCAGAGGCGAAUAUCGGCUAAGUCGCCCCGGACUGUAAAUCCGGAGUCUGCUAGACAGGGUGAAGGUUCAACUCCUUCCUGCUCCACCA
RNAcentral lists this transfer RNA (92 nucleotides) under Planctomycetales bacterium. RNAcentral's name for it is "tRNA-Tyr". It matches the Rfam family "tRNA". Rfam says of the family: Transfer RNA (tRNA) molecules are approximately 80 nucleotides in length. Their secondary structure includes four short double-helical elements and three loops (D, anti-codon, and T loops). Further hydrogen bonds mediate the characteristic L-shaped molecular structure. tRNAs have two regions of fundamental functional importance: the anti-codon, which is responsible for specific mRNA codon recognition, and the 3' end, to which the tRNAs corresponding amino acid is attached (by aminoacyl-tRNA synthetases). tRNAs cope with the degeneracy of the genetic code in two manners: having more than one tRNA (with a specific anti-codon) for a particular amino acid; and 'wobble' base-pairing, i.e. permitting non-standard base-pairing at the 3rd anti-codon position. The record is from RNAcentral. Lineage: Bacteria; Pseudomonadati; Planctomycetota; Planctomycetia; Planctomycetales.